RNAcentral lists this ribosomal RNA (429 nucleotides) under Gemmatimonadota bacterium. RNAcentral's name for it is "Gemmatimonadetes bacterium partial 16S ribosomal RNA". It matches the Rfam family "Bacterial small subunit ribosomal RNA", at positions 355 to 776 of the family's 1533-position model. The record is from RNAcentral. Lineage: Bacteria; Pseudomonadati; Gemmatimonadota.
UAGGGAAUCUUCGGCAAUGGACGAAAGUCUGACCGAGCAACGCCGCGUGAGUGAAGAAGGUUUUCGGAUCGUAAAACUCUGUUGUUAGAGAAGAACAAGGACGUUAGUAACUGAACGUCCCUUGACGGUACCUAACCAGAAAGCCACGGCUAUCUACGUGCCAGCAGCCGCGGUAAUACGUAGGUGGCAAGCGUUGUCCGGUUUUAUUGGGCGUAAAGCGAGCGAAGGCGGUUUCUUAUGUCGGAUGGGAAAGCCCCCGGCUCAACCGGGGAGGGUAAUUGGAAACUGGGAGAAUUGAGUGCAGAAGAGGAGAGUGGAAUUCCAUGUGUAGCGGUGAAGUGCGUAGAUAUAUGGGGGAACACCAGUGGUGAAGGCGGCUCUCUGGUCUGUAACUGACGCUGAGGCUCGAAAGCGUGGGGAGCAAACAGG